AUGAAAUUUUAUUCAUCGGAAAAAGAAGGUGGCAAUGCGAGACCUAAUGCAAUGAUGAGAGAUUUCUGCAAUUGUUUAGGAGAGUGCGGCCUCGAGGAUAUGGGAUGUAUUGGUGAUCCUUUCACUUGGAGGAGAGGCGACACUAGAGAGAGACUUGACAGGGCUAUUUGCAAUGUGGAAUGGGAAAAUAUUUUCCCCUGGGCUGCGGUUAUAAAUGAGUAACAUGUUCAUUCUGAUCAUCGUCCCAUCGUCCUGCAUACUGAAUACUUUGAUGUCAAUAUUUUUAAACCUCCAAGAGGACGAGUGAAACAAUUUGAAGCUAGAUGGCUUAAAGAGGAAACAAUCGUUGAGAUUGUGCGUACACCCACGAUAGGAGCCGCGCGUAUCUCAUCUCAGGCCACGGUCGGAUGGGACAAUCUACGAGUAAAACCAAUCCUCGAGUUUCCACGUGGUGGCCCCGCAGGCUGCCUGGUUUGGACCAACACUCAUGAGGAGCACUGGCUCGGGUUGUUGAUUAAUUAUCCUCGGGUGCUAGCAUGUCCCUAUGCAAGUAUUAGUUGUUAUUAG
Molecule: ribosomal RNA, 567 nt
Filed under: Triticum aestivum (bread wheat)
Lineage: Eukaryota; Viridiplantae; Streptophyta; Magnoliopsida; Poales; Poaceae
Description: partial small subunit ribosomal RNA
Source: RNAcentral